RNAcentral lists this unclassified non-coding RNA (267 nucleotides) under fungal sp. Its description in RNAcentral is "partial internal transcribed spacer region". The stretch from base 1 to 46 matches the Rfam family "Eukaryotic small subunit ribosomal RNA", at positions 1786 to 1831 of the family's 1831-position model. Lineage: Eukaryota; Fungi. The record is from RNAcentral.
AAGUCGUAACAAGGUUUCCGUAGGUGAACCUGCGGAAGGAUCAUUAACGAGUUAGGGUCUCCCAGGCCCGACCUCCCAACCCUUUGCUUAUUGAACCUAUCGUUGCUUCGGCGGGCCCGUCCCUGUGACCGCCGGAGGACCGCCGAAAGGCGUCCUCUGGCCCGCGUCCGCCGGUGGCCAACCUUUAUAACUCUUUGAAUGAAUCGUGUCUUCUAAGUAUUCAAAAUAAUUAACGCAAAACUUUCAACAACGGAUCUCUUGGUUCUG